This 201-nucleotide non-coding RNA is filed under the name Bacillus sp. (in: firmicutes). The record is from RNAcentral. Lineage: Bacteria; Bacillati; Bacillota; Bacilli; Caryophanales; Bacillaceae. RNAcentral also lists the same sequence under 1 other name.
AUUUUCGUAGUAAAUUAAGGUGCCAUUCGGCUUAAUAGGGAAUCUGGUAAAAUCCAGAACUGCCCCCGCAACUGUAAGUGUGGACGAAAAAGGAGAACCACUGUAUAAAAAUACUUUUCCUUGAGGAGGUAUAUUGUACGGGAAGGUCCUUGAGUAGGACGAUACACGAGUCAGGAGACCUAGCUUAAUUGAAAUGAGUUU